This 873-nucleotide ribosomal RNA is filed under the name Triticum aestivum (bread wheat). RNAcentral describes it as "partial small subunit ribosomal RNA". The record is from RNAcentral. Lineage: Eukaryota; Viridiplantae; Streptophyta; Magnoliopsida; Poales; Poaceae.
AUGAGGGCGCCGCGGAGGCCGAUGGCGGUCGUGCUCAGCUGGGUGCGGAGGCAGCCGCCCAAGGUCAAGGCCUUCCUCGCCGUCGUCGCGGGCAUGACCGCGCUCGUCUUCAUCCGCUUCAUCGUCCACGACCACGACAACCUCUUCGUCGCCGCCGAGGCCGCGCACGCGCUCGGCAUCGCCGUGCUCAUCUACAAGCUCACCAAGGAGAAGACCUGCGCUGGACUUUCACUCAAGUCUCAGGAUUUGACAGCACUGUUCCUGGCCGUUAGGUUGUACUGCAGCUUUGUUAUGGAGUAUGACAUCCAUACAAUACUGGAUUCAGCUACACUAGUAGCUACUCUUUUUGUCAUUUACAUGAUUCGGUUCAGACUGAGGUCAACUUAUAUGCUGGACAAGGACAAUUUUGCAUUGUACUACGUGGUCCACAAGAUGUCAGUAUCACUUUUAGAAAGAGUUGUAUCCUUGCCCCUUGUGGUUGUACCAUGUUGUGUGCUGGCAUUUAUUGCUCAUCCUUCGACAUCACAUAUCAUGAUCAAUAGGAUCUGCUGGGCCUUCUGUGUUUACUUGGAAGCUGUUUCAGUGCUGCCCCAGUUGCGCUUGAUGCAGAAUACAAAGAUUGUUGAACCAUUCACAGCUCAUUAUGUGUUUGCAUUGGGAGUGGCAAGGUUCCUUAGCUGUGCACACUGGGUCCUUCAGGUCUUGGAUACUCGUGGCAGAUUAUUGACUGCUCUGGGCUAUGGCUUUUGGCCAUCGAUGGUUCUCCUCUCUGAAAUCGUCCAGACGUUCAUCCUUGCAGAUUUCUGCUACUACUAUGUGAAGAGUCUUGCUGGUGGACAACUAGUGCUGCGACUUCCUUCUGGGGUGGUGUAA